UGGGGAAUAUUGGACAAUGGGCGAAAGCCUGAUCCAGCCAUGCCGCGUGUGUGAAGAAGGUCUUCGGAUUGUAAAGCACUUUAAGUUGGGAGGUAGGGCAGUAAGCGAAUACCUUGCUGUUUUGACGUUACCGACAGAAUAAGCACCGGCUAACUCUGUGCCAGCAGCCGCGGUAAUACAGAGGGUGCAAGCGUUAAUCGGAAUUACUGGGCGUAAAGCGCGCGUAGGUGGUUCGUUAAGUUGAAUGUGAAAGCCCCGGGCUCAACCUGGGAACUGCAUCCAAAACUGGCGGGCUAGAGUAGGGCAGAGGGUGGUGGAAUUUCCUGUGUAGCGGUGAAAUGCGUAGAUAUAGGAAGGAACACCAGUGGCGAAGGCGACCACCUGGGCUCAUACUGACACUGAGGUGCGAAAGCGUGGGGAGCAAACAGG
RNAcentral lists this ribosomal RNA (429 nucleotides) under Pseudomonadota bacterium. RNAcentral's name for it is "Proteobacteria bacterium partial 16S ribosomal RNA". It matches the Rfam family "Bacterial small subunit ribosomal RNA", at positions 355 to 776 of the family's 1533-position model. Lineage: Bacteria; Pseudomonadati; Pseudomonadota. The record is from RNAcentral.